CCCGCCCCUGUCGCCAGGUGCCGCCGCCGCCGCCGGUCACAGUUUCUGCCGCCGCUCCCUUUCACCAGCUGAUUCCGCCGCCGCCCCUGAUUUCGCCGGUCAUGUUCUCCCCCGCUGCCCCCGGUCGCCAGCUGAUUUCACCGGUCGCCAGCUGAUUUCACCGGUCGCCAGCUGAUUUCACCGGUCGUCAGCUCCCGCCACCGCCGCCGGUCGCCAGCUCCCGUCGUCGCCGCAGUGUGUCAUCCUCAGCAUCCGGCGCCACUUCACAUCGUUAGCCGCCGGCGCUAUUUCCUAUCCGUACCCAAGCUGCACGCCCUAUCCAUCGUUUCCACCCCCGAUUCGAUGCCCACAGCUGCCGGCCGUGAGGGCCUCCAUCGCAACCGUGUAACUUCCUUCUUCUGAUGCAACCGCGUAAAGGUGGACCUACUGCUGAGGUGACUGUGAUGAGUUUCGAAGGUGGUGAGGGAUCUAUGCUGCGAGGUUCUAUUUGUUUUCAGUGAUUCUUGGCAACGCGCUUUGGAUUCUUUAAAAAAAAACCUUCUUUCUGCAGGCUCUUCAGAAGCUAAUUCACCCUAACAUUGUGAAGCUGAAGGAGGUGACAAUGGAAAAUCAUGAGCUGUUCUUCAUCUUUGAACACAUGCCGUGAGUGUGAUAAUUGGGACCAGUAUCAUAUGGAAUUUGGGAAAAAAAUCAUGCAUCGUCUAAGUGAUGCUUUAUCCAUUGCUGCACCUCAUAAAUUUAAAUCAUUCAAGAAUUGGAGACAUGUGCCAGUCUAGGUUCCCGUCGAGAAGGUCCCACAUGACAGUGUGUUCUUUGCCAUGAAGUUUCUCGAGUUCUAUGAUGGUGUUGGCCAUGGCUCACUUCACACUACCAUUGAUGCUGAUCGAUCAAAAGAGAUGCGUGCUGAGACAUUGUACUACCUCACAUUUCAUAAGCAGAACAAGGUGGCCACUUUCCCAGACGAAAUGCUUCAAUACCGUCGAGAUGAUCAUCACCCUUUUUUCUAUUAAUUUUUUGAUGUCUCAUUGCAUCCUUUCUCUGUUUCACUUUAUUUUCCAUUUUUACCUGUACAUAUUCCACAUUCUAUGUCUACUUGCUUAAUAUACAGAAAUGGCUCACGAGGUAUU
This is a long non-coding RNA of Setaria italica (foxtail millet), 1127 nucleotides long. RefSeq lists it as uncharacterized. The transcript is spliced from 3 exons. The record is from RefSeq and is a predicted model, not a curated record. Lineage: Eukaryota; Viridiplantae; Streptophyta; Magnoliopsida; Poales; Poaceae.